UGCCGCGUGAAUGAUGAAGGUCUUAGGAUUGUAAAAUUCUUUCACCGGGGACGAUAAUGACGGUACCCGGAGAAGAAGCCCCGGCUAACUUCGUGCCAGCAGCCGCGGUAAUACGAAGGGGGCUAGCGUUGCUCGGAAUUACUGGGCGUAAAGGGAGCGUAGGCGGAUAGUUUAGUCAGAGGUGAAAGCCCAGGGCUCAACCUUGGAAUUGCCUUUGAUACUGGCUAUCUUGAGUACGGAAGAGGUAUGUGGAACUCCGAGUGUAGAGGUGAAAUUCGUAGAUAUUCGGAAGAACACCAGUGGCGAAGGCGACAUACUGGUCCGUUACUGACGCUGAGGCUCGAAAGCGUGGGGAGCAAACAGGAUUAGAUACCCUGGUAGUCCACGCUGUAAACGAUGAGUGCUAGUUGUCGGCAUGCAUGCAUGUCGGUGACGCAGCUAACGCAUUAAGCACUCCGCCUGGG
RNAcentral lists this ribosomal RNA (464 nucleotides) under Caulobacter sp. Its description in RNAcentral is "bacterial SSU rRNA". It matches the Rfam family "Bacterial small subunit ribosomal RNA", at positions 395 to 877 of the family's 1533-position model. The record is from RNAcentral. Lineage: Bacteria; Pseudomonadati; Pseudomonadota; Alphaproteobacteria; Caulobacterales; Caulobacteraceae.